Gallus gallus (chicken) is the source of this 1201-nucleotide long non-coding RNA. The record is from Ensembl. NCBI's taxonomy places the organism in Eukaryota, Metazoa, Chordata, Aves, Galliformes, Phasianidae.
GUUUAUAUCAGCAUCCCACGUGAAUGUCAGAAAGCACUUACUUUCAAAGCACUGCUGUUGUACAAAUACGCUCUUGGUGCAGAAGCGCUCUGUCAGUGACAAGCAGCUCCUUGCCAAGAUGAGAGCAAACCUGGCAGAGGCUUCUUCCUCCUGUUCCACCCGGUUUUGCGCAAGUUUCUGACGGGCUUUUAGCCCUGAGUCUCUAACUAGAGUCAGCUGGCUGAUGCUGAAAUCGCUGUUGUUUAAGGUCAGCAAAGGCCUUGGUUUUAAUUCAGUUGUUUUUUGUGGUUUUUUUUUCUCCUUGAUUCUAAGCCUGUUUCUGUUGGGUUACUGCAUAACCGAGGCCUCUGACAAAGCACACAUCCCUAAGAUUGCUUUCUCUGGGAUGAGCUCAGUUUGAAAAGAAAGUUGCCAAGUUGCAGCAACAGCAUCUGCAUUCUGGGUUAAAAAAAACUGCUUAAUGAUUUCGGGUUCAACUGUGUCACUGAAGGCUUAAAGAAGCAUUUCUACAACAAAAACAGACGAUGCCAAACUCACACAAGUGGGUAAAAUUCAUGUCAUGCAGUAAACAGACCAUUCUUACUGUGGCUGUAACAUAAAUCAGGUGUAAAGGUACCAAACCUGAAAGGAUGAAACUCUGUUCUACCCACCACUUCAAAAGCUUAUGCUAUUGAAGAACAGGAGACCGUAAAAAUAAAAUUUUAAAAAAGAUGUUGAAUAUAAUAUGCUCAGUAAACAAAACAUGAAGACCUGACUGUGGCAUCCAUCGUCUCAAGCUGGAUGACCGGGCCAGAAACUCACUGUGGUAUAUGUGACACGGACAUAAAGGUAAACAAGUCUCUAAAGUUAGAAGAGAAAUGAUAGAAAAGAACUGUUCUCUGUUCAAAAUUGCACUGAAUGGUCUGUAUUUUUCUGACAAGAUGAUGCUGGUCUGAAGAAUAAUGAGCCCAUUUGCUUUUCUGAUGUUGCUUGCCAGGGAAAAGUAAAUCUCACUCUCUUGCUUUGCAGUUUACUUUGUGUUAGUUUGACAGGAUCUUUAAAGAAAUUAAAUGGAAAAUAAUUGAAUCCUCAUAUAAGGCUUUAUUGUCUCAGGGGAAAGAAAAGUUUUGCAUAACACAGCCUUACCUGAAAAUCAUUAAUUGCAGCUUAAAAAAGUUUUGAAAUGAACAAAACGGGUUUUUUUGGUUUUUGUUUUUUUUUU